UUGAAAGGGGCGCGGGAAGGCGGGCGAGGGGGCCCGGCCCGGCCCUCCGCGUGCCCGCUCGCCCGUCCGCCUCACACAAAGCAGAGCCGGGAGUGAAAGAGCAGCCGGAAAGGGACGGGCCACCGGCCACCCACCCUGCGGCGCCCCGGGCUCCCCUCGCACCCAGCAUCAGCCCCGCGCGCCAACUUACCUCGCGAAGGGAGCCGCCGCCGCGCCCGGUGUGGAGUUGAAAUGAUUGGACAACUUCCUCAAGGACCAAAGUUUGAAUCAAGGUCUCACUGAUACUAAGCCAGAGCUACUCCUAGGACUCCAGACGUCCUCCCUGUGACCACAAAAGAAGCACAGAAGCUACUUUGGCCUGAGUAAAGAGCCUCCUGUGUUCCCACACUCCCUCAUCAAGAAGACUUGGGGGAGCUCACUCGGCUUCCCUGGUGUAUGGAUUUAAGGACAGGACUGUCACUACGAGUGAAUGGAACCGAGAGGGAAAGACGGAAAGAAAUAUCGAUGUGAGAGAAACAUCAAUUGGUUGCUUCCUGCACAUGCCCUAGAGCCUGCAACCGAGAAAUGAUUUCAGGCCUCUCGAUCAACAGGACAAAAGAUGGCUACCCCAUUGCUGCCAAAUGACAUCUCUUCAAUUCAAGUAACCAACCAGGUCAAGAGACAACAGCAUCUAAACUCCUGGGAGGAUCUGAUUUUUUCAGUUUGGGUCAAUUAGUGGGGGUCAGGGAGCAGGGCAUAUGCUCAGAUAAUGCUACUUUUGCGGCCAAAGGAAUGAAGUGCCUCUGGAAGGCAGAUUAUGGGCUGGGCAGAUGACUUCAUCACUAUAGCUCAUUAUUGUCAUCUCCAUGCAAUCCUAUUCCCUUUAUUCUUUUCAUUCUGGUUCUAAAGUCUUCUAAGGUUUUGAUGCCCUGUGGUACCAACAAAGCCAGGGUGCCAUUUCCCUCCCUAGAAACAACUGUUUCUUAAACAAUUAUUUCUCUCCAGGUAGUCCCUGCCUUGUAAGCUUCUUAGCCUGGUUUGCUAGCCUUGGGAGGGACUGCUAGUUUUGCCUUCAGGAGUGUUAGUUAGAUAGGGCCUCACUAACAAAACCAGUGACCUGGUUCAUCUCUCAGCCUUUGGGGAUGAUUAUCUUUUUGCAAACACUUGGGGAGAAGAUAAAACAAAGAGAGACAAUUCAACUCCAUAGCUCCCAGUGUCUUCCUCUCCUCCAUAUCCUAGCCUAAUGGUGCUAGGAUACAAUAGUCUUAACCACCCGAGUUACCACUGUGGAUGAAUAAAUGGUGCUGUAAUAAAUCAUAAAUUCCUAAUGGGCAGGUCAUGGUGAAUAGUCACUCCCCAGGCAUAUAACUUUUUAG
This is a long non-coding RNA of Eptesicus fuscus (big brown bat), 1355 nucleotides long. RefSeq lists it as uncharacterized. The transcript is spliced from 4 exons. Lineage: Eukaryota; Metazoa; Chordata; Mammalia; Chiroptera; Vespertilionidae. The record is from RefSeq and is a predicted model, not a curated record.